GUAUUUAGAAUUAUUUUAUUCAAAAUAUCUUCAGACAAAAUUGUUAUAAUAAAAAGUUGGUAUUGUGCCCUUUCCUCCUAAAAGAAAAAAGACAAACAUUGCACACAAGGUGAGUACUUAUUUAAAAAGUGCAGUAAAAAACACUUAUUAUGAAUGAUCCUUCCGCAGGUUCACCUACGGAAA
Molecule: unclassified non-coding RNA, 183 nt
Filed under: uncultured fungus
Lineage: Eukaryota; Fungi
Description: sequence contains ITS1
Source: RNAcentral